Molecule: long non-coding RNA, 844 nt
Organism: Adelges cooleyi (spruce gall adelgid)
Lineage: Eukaryota; Metazoa; Arthropoda; Insecta; Hemiptera; Adelgidae
Exons: 6
Source: RefSeq, a predicted model, not a curated record
UUGAAAUUAUUGUAAUUUCAAAAUUUUGCCUUGUGUGUUCAAAAAAACAUUUUGUCUUAAAUUAUAGUGUUUAACUCAUUUUAAGUAAAAUGUAAAAUUGCAUUUACAACAGUACAAUCGGAAAGAGAUAGAUUUUCGUUUAUUUUUCGUACAGAUAUGCAACGUGAUAAGAAUUAUGAUGAAUACAAACUCGAAAUGGUUUUGCUUCGGGCAACGUCGACAGCGGCGAGAAGUCUACUCGAUCGGUGGUGGAAAUCGGAUUCUUGGCGUCUCUUGAUCAAAUCAAAGUUCAUAAAGAACUCAAGUCGGAUGCAUGUAUAUUGAACAGUAGUAGUAGAAUCAAUUGUCACGUGAUGAAUUAUGAACGCUAUGAAAAUUACUCUAAAAUUGGCUGUCCUUACAGGUCGGUACGGAGUAAUGUGGCAUGUUGCGGUCUACAAGACAAAUAUAUGCGAGUAAAUAGAGCACGGGGAGUACCAAGUCAGAAUGACAGGAUAUGAUGCAGCGUGGCUCUACGAGAGUCUCUCCCAUCUUAGAUGAUGCUUACCUUAAUAAAAUUAGACUAAUAUAUCUACACAACACCUGGUUAUUUUACAAAACAUUUUUUAAAUGAAACAAUCUAAUUUCAAACGAUUAAAUAUUCAAAAGCCAUUCAAACAAUUUACGACCAAGGAUGCUACGGCGUUAUCACAAGAUGAUAAGACGUCAAACGGACAAGUACGAUCUGCAAACUACUCAAAACACUACGAUUCAGCUACAAACAAAUUUCAAAGCCGCCUGUCUAACUUAUUUAAUUCCUGUUUUUAUUUAACAAAUUAAAUUAAUGACUUGCAUUUUAUACUCA